AUGUGGCCAGUGAAGGGCCACAUGCCUUGCAUUGAAUGGAUGGAAGAGGGAGUAUAUAUUCGAAAUUUCUUCACAAAAUCCCAUUUUUCACUUUCCUUUCUCUCUCUACUUGUUAUUUUCCUCUCUUUAUUCCCCGAUGUAUCUCUUCAUACGAAGCCACCACCACUGGCCAAAAAUCGCAUCCGUCGAUGGUUCAAUCCUAGCACCAUUGUAUAA
Molecule: non-coding RNA, 216 nt
Organism: Vicia faba (fava bean)
Lineage: Eukaryota; Viridiplantae; Streptophyta; Magnoliopsida; Fabales; Fabaceae
Source: the annotation of a GenBank genome assembly